AAAACUAUUUACUGUCUCUAUGUUGAAUCAUGCUGAACUUUAAGAACUUUGACCCCAUCAGCCAUGUGGAUCACAAUGUGGAGCCACUGUUUCAAGAACAAAUUCUCUGCCAUCACAUCCAGUGGCUGCCUGCCUGAUACUGCUGUUGCCGGGAGAGCCGCCUCUCCAGUGAGAGUGAAUCCCAAUGAAACGUGCACAUGCUCGGCUGUGAUUGGUUCCCCUGGCAGCCAUUUUUCCAUCCGAC
RNAcentral lists this long non-coding RNA (244 nucleotides) under Drosophila guanche. Lineage: Eukaryota; Metazoa; Arthropoda; Insecta; Diptera; Drosophilidae. The record is from RNAcentral.